Polypterus senegalus (gray bichir) is the source of this 409-nucleotide long non-coding RNA. RefSeq lists it as uncharacterized. NCBI's taxonomy places the organism in Eukaryota, Metazoa, Chordata, Cladistia, Polypteriformes, Polypteridae. The transcript has 3 exons. The record is from RefSeq and is a predicted model, not a curated record.
GAAAACCUGCAGCUACUGUGGCCCUCCAGGACUGGAGUUUGACACCCGUGCUUUACAUGGACACUCAGUUUGUGGCUGCUCAGUUGGGCGCAACAUUUAACCUGGUGUCCCAGUUCAAGGAACAGGCUUGCCUUGAAAUGGAAUGUGAUUCAGUGGGAACCAGACGUUACCCUAGAAGUACAUAUGGGCUGCAGUUUAAAAAGGACUCCUGGCUACAAUGCCUGAAGUUGGAAAAGAGAUGUGUCUUAAAAAGUACGGUUUAAGAAAAGGACUUGAAUGUGCUGGGAAAUUAAGAAGCAACAUAUCAUGUAAAAGAAAUGGCAGAUAUCCCAGAAGAUACCUACUUGAUUGGAUUCUGUGCAGUCAAAAGGAACUGACAGGGGAAUCAACAGCUCUAGAGGACUGCGAC